AGGAAUAAAAUGAGUAGAAUCUUUUGUUAUACUUCUGCUUUGUGAACUUAUACCGAUCUGAGGCAAUUUAAGUAAAUGAUAACCUCUUAUUGCUCCCUUAAAUGUGGGUGAUUAUGGAGAAUAGUGAUCAAUGACUCAUCCAAUAAGGCCACACUAUGGAGAUUGUAUGGGGUCUAUGAAGAUGCACCACGUGGGCACGUUUUGUUUUGUGAAGUAUUGUAGGAAUUUAUUCCCACCUUGGACAAGGCACAUCAUUAACUGCUUGGUCAUUAACUCCUGGGAAGCACCAAUUGGCAAUUGGUGUGGCUGCUAGUACUUAUAAAUAGGG
RNAcentral lists this long non-coding RNA (328 nucleotides) under Elaeis guineensis (African oil palm). RNAcentral describes it as "long non-coding RNA (EGUI_LNC017981)". Lineage: Eukaryota; Viridiplantae; Streptophyta; Magnoliopsida; Arecales; Arecaceae. The record is from RNAcentral.